RNAcentral lists this long non-coding RNA (1395 nucleotides) under Gopherus agassizii (Agassiz's desert tortoise). Its description in RNAcentral is "lncRNA (ENSGAGG00000011971.1)". The record is from RNAcentral. Lineage: Eukaryota; Metazoa; Chordata; Testudines; Testudinidae.
AAAUCACCGAUUUCUGUCACACAUUUUCCCUAAAACCAGCUCUGUAAAGGUCUCUAGCCACAUGGUUUGAAGCCUCAACGGUUUAAUGUUUGGCAUCUUGCCUUUUUGAUUCAAGGAAAUGAGAGACUGACAGGUUUAUGCUCUCAGCCAAUUGCAAAGCUGCUCCCUUCUCUGUCCCACCUACCACUUCCUUUCAUCUUUCUCUCUUUCAUCAUCACUGUGCUUCCUGCACGUUCCCUGUUCCUGUGCUCCCAGACCAGCGUGCUUGGCUGAAAAUGGAAUUGAUGAGCUGGGAGGAAACAGUUGCUUUGGAGAAAUGGCACGUUCCAGAUAUGAGACUCAGUGAGCUGAUUGUGGAGAGGCUGAGGAUGAAGACUGACUCCCCACCCCCAUGAAAUGAUCGGGGCUGAAGUGGAAAAAUUAAGUACUGUAACUGAAUCUUGAAAAUGGUCUGUAAUGAAACAUCCUGGACCUGAGCCCCAAGGACUGUAGGAUAAGGGCCUCCAACUGAGUAGGGCCUUGAAGAAAAGGGACUGAGUGGUUUUAUGGCCUACCUGAGCUGAGGUAAAGAUAAUCAGCUCUUGUGCUUUCAGGGCUUGCUCUGGUCUCUUAGGAAGUAGCCAGGGAUGUGUUGCUAGAGGCAGGAUGCUUGACUUGAUGGGUCCAUCCACUGUUUUAUUAGUUGUAUUACACUGUAGCCUGUGCUAGGGUUUGUACAGACACUUUNCAGAUAUAGAUGCGUCCAGUGGCAACUCUGAUCUCUGGUGUAGCUGCUACAGUAGGAGAGAAGAAGAGGCUGUGUUGGUCACGCUCUUAUGAAUGUUUCUUUGCCCAUUUCAGAUUGUGGAGAGGCUGAGGAUGAAGACUGACUCCCCACCCCCAUGAAAUGAUGGGGGCUGAAGUGGAAAAAUUAAGUACUGUAACUGAAUCUUGAAAAUGGUCUGUAAUGAAACAUCCUGGACCUGAGCCCCAAGGACUGUAGGAUAAGGGCCUCCAACUGAGUAGGGCCUUGAAGAAAAGGGACUGAGUGGUUUUAUGGCCUACCUGAGCUGAGGUAAAGAUAAUCAGCUCUUGUGCUUUCAGGGCUUGCUCUGGUCUCUUAGGAAGUAGCCAGGGAUGUGUUGCUAGAGGCAGGAUGCUUGACUUGAUGGGUCCAUCCACUGUUUUAUUAGUUGUAUUACACUGUAGCCUGUGCUAGGGUUUGUACAGACACUUUAUUAGAGACCAUCCCUGUCCCAAAGAUUUUUGUUGGUUUUGUCUACUUAGGUUAUAAAGGAUGGAAAAGAGGAAGUAUCAGCAUUGCAGAUGGGAAACUGAGGUACAGAGAGCUGAAGACUGAAAUUUUCAAAGGAGCCCGUGGAGUUAGGUACCCAAAUCUGAGAUUUAAAAGGAUUU